Molecule: ribosomal RNA, 778 nt
Filed under: uncultured bacterium
Lineage: Bacteria
Description: bacterial SSU rRNA
Rfam family: Bacterial small subunit ribosomal RNA
Source: RNAcentral
AGAGUUUGAUCCUGGCUCAGGAUGAACGCUAGCGGCAGGCCUAAUACAUGCAAGUCGAACGGAGCAGCAAUGCUUAGUGGCGCACGGGUGCGUAACGCGUAUGCAACCUACCUAUCAGUGGGGAAUAGCCCGGGGAAACCCGGAUUAAUACCGCAUAAGAUCAAAGAGUGGCAUCACUUUUUGCUGAAACAUUUAUGGCUGACAGAUGGGCAUGCGUUAGAUUAGCUAGUUGGUAGUGUAAGGGACUACCAAGGCAAUGAUCUAUAGGGGUUCUGAGAGGAAGAUCCCCCACACUGGUACUGAGAUACGGACCAGACUCCUACGGGAGGCAGCAGUAGGGAAUAUUGGGCAAUGCCCGCAAGGGUGACCCAGCCAUGCCGCGUGCAGGAAGAAGGCCUUCUGGGUUGUAAACUGCUUUUGGAAGGGAACAAAACGGCUCUGCGGAGCAACUUGAGUGUACCUUCAGAAUAAGCACCGGCUAACUCCGUGCCAGCAGCCGCGGUAAUACGGAGGGUGCAAGCGUUGUCCGGAUUUAUUGGGUUUAAAGGGUGCGUAGGCGGCUUGUUAAGUCAGGGGUGAAAGACUGCAGCUCAACUGUAGCAGUGCCUUUGAUACUGAUGAGCUUGAGUAUAGAUGAGGCCGGCGGAAUUUAUGGUGUAGCGGUGAAAUGCAUAGAUACCAUAAAGAACACCGAUUGCGAAGGCAGCCGGCUAAACUACAACUGACGCUGAGGCACGAAAGCGUGGGGAUCGAACAGGAUUAGAUACCCUCGUAGUCC